This 115-nucleotide small nucleolar RNA is filed under the name Canis lupus familiaris (dog). Its description in RNAcentral is "Small nucleolar RNA SNORD22 (ENSCAFG00000027912.2, ENSCAFG00040018844.1, ENSCAFG00845030691.1)". It matches the Rfam family "Small nucleolar RNA SNORD22". From Rfam's summary of the family: U22 is a member of the C/D class of snoRNA which contain the C (UGAUGA) and D (CUGA) box motifs. U22 is encoded within the U22 snoRNA host gene (UHG) in mammals and has also been identified in Xenopus. Lineage: Eukaryota; Metazoa; Chordata; Mammalia; Carnivora; Canidae. The record is from Rfam by way of RNAcentral.
UCUCAUAAAUGAAUAAAUAAAAUCUUAAAAAAAAAAAAGACUGGCUUAGGUGAACCCACUGGGGCUGGCUGGGGAAAAGGAGGAGGCUUGCUCCAGAAGGAACUGUCUGAGGGAU